GUCUACGGCCAUGCCACCCUCAACAAGCCCGAUGUCUGUCUGAUCUCGGAAGCUAAGCAGGGUUGGGCCUGGUUAGUACUUGGAUGGGAGACCACCUAAAAAGACCAGGUGCUGUAGGCA
Molecule: ribosomal RNA, 120 nt
Filed under: Pteropus alecto (black flying fox)
Lineage: Eukaryota; Metazoa; Chordata; Mammalia; Chiroptera; Pteropodidae
Source: RNAcentral